UACGAGAGGCCCAAACGUUAUUCGGAAUUACUGGGCUUAAAGAGUUCGUAGGCGGUAUUGCAAGUAGGGUGUGAAAGCCCUCGGCUCAACCGAGGAAUUGCGCUCUAAACUGCAGUACUUGAGGAACCUAGAGGUGAGCAGAACAGAUGGUGGAGCGGUGAAAUGCGUUGAUAUCAUCUGGAAUACCGGAGGCGAAGGCGGCUCACUGGGAGUUUUCUGACGCUGAGGAACGAAAGCCAGGGUAGCGAACGGG
Molecule: ribosomal RNA, 253 nt
Filed under: uncultured bacterium
Lineage: Bacteria
Description: partial 16S ribosomal RNA
Rfam family: Bacterial small subunit ribosomal RNA
Source: RNAcentral